UUCGCCACGUCGAUCUGCUCAUUUUGCGAGAGCAGUUUGCCGAUCGAUUCACGGAUCGCAGGAUGCCAGCUUACGGCGCGGCUUACCGCAUCGUUAAGCGUCAGGUUGCCGGGCGCGGCGGCGCUCAGCGGGAGUUCGGCCACCGAUCCAUCCAGAGAGGGGAGCAUCUGGCUGGUGGCCAGCCCUUCCGGCGUGAUGACUUGCGGUUCAUCUUCGGCAUUAACCCGCAGCGAACAGAGCGUGAAUGCCAGCAGUAAAGCGACAGAGGUGACAUUUCUCAUCGUUUAUCCCUUACAAAAUACGGCAGUGACGGCUGUUAUUGCCCCGGACGUCGUGGCAUCCGGGGCUGUUG
RNAcentral lists this small RNA (352 nucleotides) under Citrobacter gillenii. RNAcentral describes it as "isrL Hfq binding RNA". It matches the Rfam family "isrL Hfq binding RNA". The record is from RNAcentral. Lineage: Bacteria; Pseudomonadati; Pseudomonadota; Gammaproteobacteria; Enterobacterales; Enterobacteriaceae.